AGAAAAGGGGCGGAGCCGCGCGGCUCUUAAAGGGACCGCAGCACCGCGCCGCCCCCCCGCGGGGCCGCGAUGAGUUACCGGGUGUGCGCGUGGGGGCGGCGGCACGCGUGGGACGUCACGAGGAUGGUGACGGAGGCGGCGAAGAUUUUGGGGGACAGCGACGCCCUGAACAUAACACCUGAACGGCUCCUGGCUGAUGGGUUCGGCCCGCGCCCCAAAUUCGGCUGUUUGGUGGCGGAGGCGGCGGGAGAGGAGGGU
RNAcentral lists this long non-coding RNA (258 nucleotides) under Gallus gallus (chicken). The record is from RNAcentral. Lineage: Eukaryota; Metazoa; Chordata; Aves; Galliformes; Phasianidae.